AGGGUCUGUGGCAGAGGGGAAGUGGGAGGUUGUGGGUGUAUGGCAGAGAUUGGUCUUAAUGGGGUUACAUUGGAAAAAUGGAGCUUAUAUGGGGACCCUGGGGGCAGUGAGGUAUGUGACAAGGGGAGACUAAAGCUGAGGGUGACAGCGUCUGCGGCAGACAUAUAGCUGGAGAGGUAUGAGGGGGAGAUUUUGAGGGAGAAUGGGAUGGAAGUUUGGGGUCUUGGGGAGGGGAAGAAAUUGAAAAGGUGGAGACAUAUAUAGGAAUAUGGGGUUUCUGGAUGAAAGGAAUUUGGAGGUGAUUGGUAUUAGGAACAUAAUAAUGUAAGAAUUUAGGGGUGAUGAUGGAGAGCUGGAGAGAGUCAGUCUGAAGGUGUCAGCAUGGAGAGAAGGAGAAAGCUCUGCUGUCCAGUAUCACCAACUUCUGGGUGCUCUUUCUUCUCUCCCCUCAUACGGACGAGAGAAAGACUCUUCAGACACAACAAUGCACUGUGAAUCAGACUUUAAUGGAGGUGCUCAUUGCAACGCCACAGACGUGGUGGCAACUGUGGAGCGUGGCACAGGGGAGCAAGACAUUGCUCUGGUGCAGCUGGAGGAAGAACAGGAAAGCCGGGGCUGGGGAGAGAGCGACGAGGAAGAAGUCCCCGGGCAAACAGCCCCACUUUGGACUGAGCCGGCUUCGGUUAAGGGCUGGUAGACACGAAGGAACUGAUGGCAAGACCCUUUUCUGUUACCCUGCCGUUCCAAUGCCAGCAAGACCUCCCACCCCAGGCCAUCUUGGAAUCUACAGCCCCAUGAAAUACACAGGCGCACACAAGUAAUCUCCAGUCAGGCCAGGUUUUGGCUCUGGAGUUGUGAAGAAAUGAUGAAUUAAUUAACAAGAUGAAUGAACAAUAAAUAAACAAAUAAAUAAUUCAUUGAAAUCUUAA
Suricata suricatta (meerkat) is the source of this 929-nucleotide long non-coding RNA. RefSeq lists it as uncharacterized. The record is from RefSeq and is a predicted model, not a curated record. The transcript is spliced from 2 exons. Lineage: Eukaryota; Metazoa; Chordata; Mammalia; Carnivora; Herpestidae.